Molecule: unclassified non-coding RNA, 238 nt
Filed under: plant metagenome
Description: partial contains small subunit ribosomal RNA and internal transcribed spacer 1
Rfam family: Eukaryotic small subunit ribosomal RNA (bases 1-46)
Source: RNAcentral
AAGUCGUAACAAGGUUUCCGUAGGUGAACCUGCGGAAGGAUCAUUAAAAGUGAUUGGUUAUACAUUUCAUGUAUCAACAGCAUUAACCCAUUCCGAGUACCUUGCUUGUUGCUUCCAAUGGGGCCUGACCUGGGUCACUCUUGCGGAUGUGAGACCCAAGAGAGUCUCCAUGGGAGGUAAUCAUUAAAUUCAUGUAUCCAAUGUCUUCUGUCUGAACUGUUUAUAAACAAUGUUAAAA